This 76-nucleotide transfer RNA is filed under the name bacterium. RNAcentral describes it as "tRNA-Leu". It matches the Rfam family "tRNA". Rfam says of the family: Transfer RNA (tRNA) molecules are approximately 80 nucleotides in length. The record is from RNAcentral.
GCCCACGUAGACCAAAGGCAGAGUCAGGAGACUUAAAAUCUCUGUAGUGCGAGUUCGAAUCUCGCCGUGGGCACCA